AUGGCCGGUCCAUCGGGAAUUUUGUUUUUGCUCGUCAUUGCAAUGCUAGAAUUUCUAGCCCUUUCCAACACCCCUCACCCAUAUUGUGACCGUCCAUGCCAAAAUGAGCUUAGCUUGCACCUGUACCUGCACCAAUUUGUUGCUGGUCCAAACCUCCCAAACCGCAAUGAAGAAUUUGUCUUAACCCCAGGUUAUCCUCUUGGUUUUGGCACAACCCUCAUCCAUGAUUGGACCCUAACCAAUACAGUGAAUCCCAGCGAUACUAUUAUUGCACGAGCACAAGGCACACAUAUACAGGCGAGUAGAACCAAUGCUAACGGUUGGUACAUCUCUCAAAACAUAGUUUUUCAGAGUGGAAGGUUUGCUGGAUCUACACUUCAGGUGAUGGGGACUUUAACUGAGCAAAGUGAGGGGCAGUGGUCCGUUAUUGGAGGGACUGGAGAAUUUGCUAAGGCGCAUGGUACUAUAAAGUACAAAAUGGACCCUGCCUCUAACAUCGAGGACGGUAUUAGAGAGCUUGAUAUUCAUCUAAUAUACACCCCAAAUUAUCCACAAGCUACUCAGUCUGGUACACCACCUCUUGCAAAAUUGUUGGGUGGCUGUCAUGCGGUCGAUAAUUGUUGCUGCAAGAAAUACUGA
Molecule: ribosomal RNA, 639 nt
Filed under: Triticum aestivum (bread wheat)
Lineage: Eukaryota; Viridiplantae; Streptophyta; Magnoliopsida; Poales; Poaceae
Description: partial small subunit ribosomal RNA
Source: RNAcentral